This 606-nucleotide ribosomal RNA is filed under the name Tomentella sp. YM379. RNAcentral describes it as "eukaryotic LSU rRNA". The stretch from base 184 to 338 matches the Rfam family "5.8S ribosomal RNA". The record is from RNAcentral. Lineage: Eukaryota; Fungi; Basidiomycota; Agaricomycetes; Thelephorales; Thelephoraceae.
AGUUGUUGCUGGUCCUCAACGGGGGCACGUGCACGCUCUGUUAACACAUCCACUCACACCCUGUGCACCCUCUGUAGUUCUGUGGUUGGGGGACCUGUCCUCCUGCUGUGGUUCUGCAUCUUUACACACACACACUGUAACAAAGUCUCAUGGAAUGCAUCUGCGUUUAACGCAAUACAAUACAACUUUCAGCAACGGAUCUCUUGGCUCUCGCAUCGAUGAAGAACGCAGCGAAAUGCGAUAAGUAAUGUGAAUUGCAGAAUUCAGUGAAUCAUCGAAUCUUUGAACGCACCUUGCGCCCUUUGGCCAUUCCGAAGGGCAUGCCUGUUUGAGUAUCAUGAACACCUCAACUCUUCAUGGUUUUCCGUGAUGAGCUUGGACUUUGGGGGUUUUGCUGGCCUAUGGUUGGCUCCUCUAAAAUGAAUCAGCUUGCCAGUGUUUGGUGGGCAUCACAGGUGUGAUAACUAUCUACGCUUGUGGUUUUCCCACCAGGUAACCUUCAGAGGUUCGCUGGAGCUCACAGAUGUCUCUCCUCAGUGAGGACAACCCUUUGAAUGUUUGAUCUCAAAUCAGGUAGGACUACCCGCUGAACUUAAGCAUAUCAAU